Molecule: long non-coding RNA, 308 nt
Organism: Coregonus clupeaformis (lake whitefish)
Lineage: Eukaryota; Metazoa; Chordata; Actinopteri; Salmoniformes; Salmonidae
Exons: 3
Source: RefSeq, a predicted model, not a curated record
UAAAAACGUAAUUUAGCAUAAAUUAGCCAGAUAAGCUAAUGUUAGCAAAUUAGCUGAAAGGAAUGAAAAGGACUUUUGCCACAUGGAAAAUUCAGAACUGGAAGAAGUGCAAGAGAAAUGAAGAUGUUUUCUAGUUGAGGAGCACAUGGGCAAUUGAAGAGCAUGUCAAAACGAAGAGCCAGACUUAGUCCUGAGGCUGAGGCUAUUCAUUUUAUUAUUUCUGGAAGUGACAAGCCUUGUAUAAAGUCAAAUGGAUCAAUGACUAUAAAGGACGUGGUGUAUUUGCCUCAGCACCAAUUGAAAAGGGG